GAUUGACUGCCCACUGGUGUCUGGAAGAGCAGCCUCUAUAUGGACACGUCUCUCCAGCCAAAGGCUGGGGCAGGACAGGGGAGCCCAAGGAAUAGUGAUGUCUGGUUCAGAGCAGUCCUUGGCCAGUCAGCUGGCCUUAGUAGUGCUCCAGGUGUGUCUGUUUGGUAGAGCUGCCAGUCCUGUCAGGCUGCUUUCUGCAGCAUCAAGAGCCAUAUUCUGGAAAUGCCUCUGGGCCUGCCUGUCUGACUGCCGGCUCAGUCCUAUAGCUGGGAGCCCUGACCGCACCUGCUCAUGGCUCAGUGAACAUCUUG
Molecule: long non-coding RNA, 311 nt
Filed under: Homo sapiens (human)
Lineage: Eukaryota; Metazoa; Chordata; Mammalia; Primates; Hominidae
Description: non-protein coding lnc-NMI-6:1
Source: RNAcentral